Molecule: transfer RNA, 63 nt
Filed under: Macropsis ocellata
Lineage: Eukaryota; Metazoa; Arthropoda; Insecta; Hemiptera; Cicadellidae
Also listed under: 1 other name
Description: tRNA-Val
Source: RNAcentral
CAGGAUGUAGCUUAUUUAAAGUUGAUUAUUUACAUUAAUUAGAAAAUUUACUGUUCUUUCUGA